Molecule: transfer RNA, 89 nt
Filed under: Actinomycetota bacterium
Lineage: Bacteria; Bacillati; Actinomycetota
Description: tRNA-Leu
Rfam family: tRNA
About the family: Transfer RNA (tRNA) molecules are approximately 80 nucleotides in length. Their secondary structure includes four short double-helical elements and three loops (D, anti-codon, and T loops). Further hydrogen bonds mediate the characteristic L-shaped molecular structure. tRNAs have two regions of fundamental functional importance: the anti-codon, which is responsible for specific mRNA codon recognition, and the 3' end, to which the tRNAs corresponding amino acid is attached (by aminoacyl-tRNA synthetases). tRNAs cope with the degeneracy of the genetic code in two manners: having more than one tRNA (with a specific anti-codon) for a particular amino acid; and 'wobble' base-pairing, i.e. permitting non-standard base-pairing at the 3rd anti-codon position.
Source: RNAcentral
GCCGGGGUGGCGAAAUCGGCUAUACGCGCCUGACUUAAAAUCAGGUGUCCCCUUCGCGGGGCGUGCGGGUUCGACUCCCGCCCCCGGCA